This 256-nucleotide non-coding RNA is filed under the name Clostridium sp. Its description in RNAcentral is "T-box sequence". It matches the Rfam family "T-box leader". From Rfam's summary of the family: Uncharged tRNA acts as the effector for transcription antitermination of genes in the T-box leader family. T-boxes are found upstream of many aminoacyl-tRNA synthetase genes and some amino acid biosynthetic genes usually in Gram-positive bacteria. Lineage: Bacteria; Bacillati; Bacillota; Clostridia; Eubacteriales; Clostridiaceae. The record is from RNAcentral.
CUAAAAACUGUGAAAAGGAAGAGUACAUAUAUUAUUGAAACAAAGAGAGAGAAUGUUUGCUGUAAAUUCUCAUGAUUUAUAUAUGGAAUGUAGCCUUGGAGUUUUUAAUCGAAAUCUAUUUGAGAGUAGACUUAAACGGAUGCUUACCGUUACAAAAGCAAUAAUAUCGGCUAUCCCUUAGCCUGUAUUAUAAAUAAGUGUGUAUUUAAUUUACAAAAUUAGGUGGUACCGCGGUGAUUAUCUCUUCGUCCUAUUA